GGAGAGGUGGCAGAGUGGCUUAAUGCGCGGGUUUGCUAAAUCCGUGAGUCCUACAGGGCUCCGCAGGUUCAAAUCCUGUCCUCUCCG
Molecule: transfer RNA, 87 nt
Filed under: Planctomycetaceae bacterium
Lineage: Bacteria; Pseudomonadati; Planctomycetota; Planctomycetia; Planctomycetales; Planctomycetaceae
Description: tRNA-Ser
Rfam family: tRNA
About the family: Transfer RNA (tRNA) molecules are approximately 80 nucleotides in length. Their secondary structure includes four short double-helical elements and three loops (D, anti-codon, and T loops).
Source: RNAcentral